AAAGUCGUAACAAGGUUUCCGUAGGUGAACCUGCGGAAGGAUCAUUAAUGAAUAUAAAUAAGAAAUUUUAUUAUUUCUUUAUUUUUCUUUCAAACACUUGUGAACAAAACGCAUUUUGCUUUGGUCGAUUCAAAAGUCUGACUUUUGUUUUGGCCAGAGGUUUAAAAUACAAACUCUUUAUUUUUUAACUAAUAAGUCUGAAAAUGAAAAUUUUAAUAAAUCAAAACUUUCAACAACGGAUCUCUUGGUUCUC
Molecule: unclassified non-coding RNA, 253 nt
Filed under: Ascomycota sp.
Lineage: Eukaryota; Fungi; Ascomycota
Description: partial contains small subunit ribosomal RNA, internal transcribed spacer 1, and 5.8S ribosomal RNA
Rfam family: Eukaryotic small subunit ribosomal RNA (bases 1-47)
Source: RNAcentral